RNAcentral lists this non-coding RNA (24 nucleotides) under Arabidopsis thaliana (thale cress). The record is from RNAcentral. Lineage: Eukaryota; Viridiplantae; Streptophyta; Magnoliopsida; Brassicales; Brassicaceae.
AGUAAACCUCCAAACACAUGCAAC